GACGAACGCUGGCGGCGUGCUUAACACAUGCAAGUCGAACGAAGUGGCGAACGGGUGAGUAACGCGUAAUCAACCUGCCCUUCAGAGGGGGACAACAGUUGGAAACGACUGCUAAUACCGCAUACUGAAGGAGGGGUUUGCGUCUGAUUAGCUAGUUGGAGGGGUAACGGCCCACCAAGGCGAUGAUCAGUAGCCGGUGUGAGAGGGUGAACGUGCAAAUUGGGACUGGGACAAGGCCCAGACUCCGACGGGGGGCAGCAGUGGGGAAGCUUCCGCAAUGGGCGACAGUCUGACGGAGGAACGCCGGGUGAGUGGUGACGGGCUUCGGGUUGUAAAGCUCUGUUAAGCGGGACGCGGUACCGGAAGAGAAAGCCACGGCUAACUACGUGCCAGCAGCCGCGGUAAUAC
RNAcentral lists this ribosomal RNA (408 nucleotides) under uncultured bacterium. RNAcentral's name for it is "partial 16S ribosomal RNA". It matches the Rfam family "Bacterial small subunit ribosomal RNA", at positions 28 to 526 of the family's 1533-position model. The record is from RNAcentral.